CAGCCGCCGCGGGAAUACGGAGGAUCCAAGCGUUAUCCGGAUUUAUUGGGUUUAAAGGGUGCGUAGGUGGCCUGUUAAGUCAGGGGUGAAAGACGGUAGCUUAACUAUCGCAGUGCCCUUGAUACUGAUGGGCUUGAAUGAACUAGAGGUAGGCGGAAUGUGACAAGUAGCGGUGAAAUGCAUAGAUAUGUCACAGAACACCAAUUGCGAAGGCAGCUUACUAUGGUUUUAUUGACACUGAGGCACGAAAGCGUGGGGAUCAAACAGGAUUAGAUACCCGAGUAGUCCCUGUCUCUUAUAU
Molecule: ribosomal RNA, 301 nt
Filed under: uncultured bacterium
Lineage: Bacteria
Description: partial 16S ribosomal RNA
Rfam family: Bacterial small subunit ribosomal RNA
Source: RNAcentral